Molecule: ribosomal RNA, 338 nt
Filed under: uncultured Glomeromycetes
Lineage: Eukaryota; Fungi; Glomeromycota; Glomeromycetes
Description: partial 28S ribosomal RNA
Source: RNAcentral
GUGAAAUUGUUGAAAGGGAAACGAUUAAAGUCAGUCAUGCCGGUGGAAAAUCAGCUCAUGGGCUACUGUGAGUGCACUUUUUCGCAUGGCAGGUCAAUAUUAGUUUUUCUUGGGUCAUAAUCAUUGUAGAAAGGUAGCUCCUUCGGGAGUGUUAUAGACUACUUUAGAUGGCCUAAUAUAGACUAAGGAUUGCAGCGAAUGCCUUUUUUUAGGCUACAGUUCUUUCUCUGUAACCCGUUGAUUAGGUGUCAGCUUUGCUGACUUUUAGUCAAUUGGAUGACAGUAAGUAGGAAACCGAUAAAUUCGCUAAGGAUGUUGACGUAAUGGCUUUAAACGAC